AGAACGAACGCUGGCGGCAGGCUUAACACAUGCAAGUCGAGCGCCCCGCAAGGGGAGCGGCAGACGGGUGAGUAACGCGUGGGAAUCUACCCAACUCUACGGAAUAGCUUCGGGAAACUGGAAUUAAUACCGUAUACGCCCUACGGGGGAAGAUUUAUCGGAGUUGGAUGAGCCCGCGUUGGAUUAGCUAGUUGGUGGGGUAAUGGCCUACCAAGGCGACGAUCCAUAGCUGGUCUGAGAGGAUGAUCAGCCACACUGGGACUGAGACACGGCCCAGACUCCUACGGGAGGCAGCAGUGGGGAAUAUUGGACAAUGGGCGAAAGCCUGAUCCAGCCAUGCCGCGUGAGUGAUGAAGGCCUUAGGGUUGUAAAGCUCUUUCAGUGGGGAAGAUAAUGACGGUACCCACAGAAGAAGCCCCGGCUAACUUCGUGCCAGCAGCCGC
Molecule: ribosomal RNA, 443 nt
Filed under: uncultured bacterium
Lineage: Bacteria
Description: SSU rRNA
Rfam family: Bacterial small subunit ribosomal RNA
Source: RNAcentral